GGGGAGGUCAGGGCGGAAAGCGGGCGCGCGAAGUCCAUUCGGAGUUAAGGAAGGAAGCGCGCUCAGGAGGCCGCUCUGAGACGGUCGUCACGGCGGAAAGCGGACAGGCAGGGCUUUUUCAAAGGGAAGAAGGAGGCCUGUCCAGG
This 146-nucleotide small RNA is filed under the name Deinococcus gobiensis I-0. RNAcentral's name for it is "hypothetical noncoding RNA". Lineage: Bacteria; Thermotogati; Deinococcota; Deinococci; Deinococcales; Deinococcaceae. The record is from RNAcentral.